RNAcentral lists this ribosomal RNA (253 nucleotides) under uncultured bacterium. RNAcentral's name for it is "partial 16S ribosomal RNA". It matches the Rfam family "Bacterial small subunit ribosomal RNA", at positions 524 to 776 of the family's 1533-position model. The record is from RNAcentral.
UACGUAGGGACCAAGCGUUGUUCGGAUUUACUGGGCGUAAAGGGCGCGUAGGCGGCCCAUCAAGUUGGAUGUGAAAUCCCACGGCUCAACCGUGGAACGGCGUCCAAAACUGAUCGGCUAGAGGGCAGCAGAGGGAGGCGGAAUUCCCGGUGGAGCGGUGAAAUGCGUAGAUAUCGGGAGGAACACCGGUGGCGAAGGCGGCCUCCUGGGUUGUACCUGACGCUGAGGCGCGAAAGCGUGGGUAGCAAACCGG